Molecule: non-coding RNA, 29 nt
Filed under: Mus musculus (house mouse)
Lineage: Eukaryota; Metazoa; Chordata; Mammalia; Rodentia; Muridae
Source: RNAcentral
UGAGAAAAGGUCUUACAUAGGCCAUACUG